UCCCUCCAUCCAAUCAGCGCCCCGCUCCCUUCACCCCCCCACAUAAAGCCGGAAGCCCCCGGGGCAGGCUCAGCUAUGGCGGCUCCGCGAGCAGCCCGAGCCGCUGCCGUUCCCCUGGGGGCUCCUCCCCUCUCCGGAUACCGGCCCGGAGCAGCGGGGGCCCCGCCGUUACCGUGCCGGAACCGCCGGGCGCCGUGUCGGCCAUCUUGCAGCGCCUCCUGGGCCUGCAGGGGUUUGGCCGAGGCAGAUUUGCAGCUGCAAGAAGUGGCAGGAGACCCACGGGGACUGGGAAGCGGCCGGCCCUCGGGGCACCGGGGCGGCUCUGAGCUGUGCAUCCAAGCAUCAACCUCUGCAGGUGAGCAGAGAUCGUUGCUGAGCAUCUAUUUUCACCUCGGCUCACGGCGUGCAGGAAGUAAAUAAACACUCGGGCAUGCUUUUAACGUAUUUGUCAGCUAAAUGGUGGUUUAAAAAAAAUGACUUUGCAUACCGUGGGGGCUGAAUGGGCUCGGGUCUGCACGUGGGAGCCCGUUGAAAUCGGUGGGGUCUCAAGGGUAUAAAACUGAUGGCAAGCAUCAGCCCUGUCCGAGCCCUUUUGUAUCUCAUCAUCUCAGCUGCUGGCACACACAGCGGUGCCCUGCAGCUCUUGUGGUGUUAGUCACGGGCUGACCUUUCUGCUCUUGGGCACAUGGGGACUGGGCUUGCCCACAUCAGCGAAGGAAUCAUCCAGGGUUUGAUGGUUAUAACUGCAAAGACAGGAGUCUGUGUUCGGCAGUGUCUCCGAAGCCCACAGCCCUGCCAGGUUCCCAAGUAGAAAUGCAGAGUCCCUAGUUUAUCAUUUAUUAGCUAAUUAGGACCAACUGCAACCUCAUAUAGUACGUGCUUGAGAAUGAAAGAUCCCCAGCUUCCAUGGGCAUCGCGUCGGUGUCUGGAGCAGAGUAAGUCUCCGGAGCAAAGGAGGAGUUUCCAGGGCACGCAGUUGGUUUCUGGUGUCCCUGGUUGCUUGUUCGCAGUAACAGCUGACACUGAGAUGAAUGUGUCUCUCCUCUUUCAGAUGCAUCAUAAUCUCUGGCCUCAAACAGCUCAUGCAGGCACUUGGCAUCGCUGCGUGACAACCCGGUAGUGAGGGAUGGUGAGGCAGAGGAGAGGAAAGCGUGGCUGGAGCUGAAGGGAGCUGCCCUGGCAGGAGGCUGAGGAGUCUCCGGAGAAAAAAAAAAUCCCACAAUUUUACCCCAUGGAAACAAACCCCUGUGAAUGUUAAUAUUGGAGUGUACUGCAUGUGGCUUACUUGGUGCAGCAGCCACAGGCCCCACCAGCGUGGUUCUCCAAAGGACUGAACGUCCAGGUUAUAAGGCAGAAUGCAUUUGCUGGGGGCAUGUAGGGAGCCAAAGUGAAAAGCAUCGCGUCCACUUCAAAGCAAAAAGAGUGAGGCAGAGAUUUGUCAAUUUACACAGGCUUUUGGGAUGGAAUGGGCUCUUCUGAGUCCCACCUUUGGCUUUGGCACCAGCCCUUUCCCUGGGGGCAGAAGGGGACUGGGUAUCUUGGUUUCUGUAGGUGCUGUAGGUUUCUGUAGGUGAUGUAUCUACAGUGGCAGGGGUGCUCUGUGCAGGUAGGACGUUUUCCACCGGUGUUUUUCAGAGGCUGAAAAAAGUGCAGAUUUCCUCCUCUUCACUGUGCGUUAUUUUGGAUAAGCGAGGUUUUUGGCCUGCUCAGCACCUCGAGUAAAAGCAGUGUCUGCGUUUCCUCCUAACCUGGCACCUUUCCUCCUUCGCCAAAUUCGGCACAGCAGAAGGGCGAGGCGGCGUAUUCAGCUCAUGCUGCUGAGAAAAUCGUAGCAAGGGCAGAAAGAGGAGGUUGUCUGAGAGCUCCCAGCCGUACCGCGCAGGAGAUUUUGGAUAGGAAGUGAGGAGCAACUUUUCCCAUGGGAACUACAGGGGGAGGCAAGCCGAACUGAAUGGGGGCCUCAUAAAUCAAUGACACACACCUUCGACUUUGUGCUAUAGCCUUGGGCGGCCGGAAUUUAUAAGCUCAAUCAAUAAUUAAGGGAAAAAAAGCAACAAAACAAGAAAAUGCAUCAGUUAUAAAAAUGCUGGAUUCCAUGCAAGUCUCUUUCCAUCAGCCUCAAACCAGCUCUGAAGGGGAAACUGAGGCACGGGGCGUGGGGUCUGUUGGCUGAGGGCAUGCAUGGAAGGUGUGCGUGUGUUUGCUCCAUCCUGGAGCCCUGAACUCGAACCGAUGCAGCUGCUCGUGGCCAGCCCCGCUCCUCACCUCCCCUCUGGGUGAGGGAGGAAGAGGUCAGGCAGUCCGACGGGCAGGGACACCCACGUUUUGUUCCACUUCUCAGCUAAAUAUAUAUUCCAUGUGUGUUUUUUUUUUUUUUUGCCCAGAAGCGGCACAGUGCUUGUGCUGCCUGCUGGCCAAGUGUGCGUUGUCGGAGCACUUCUCAGGUGUUAACCAACUCAAACGGUGAUGAUGGGAUUUUCCAGGGUUGUUAUUCUCAGCCUAAGCUGCGGCAGCUGCGAUGGAAAUAAAGUCAAGUACGCUGUGAAGUGCACGGGCCCAGGGAGAUGUGAUUCAGGACGUAUGAUCGUACUUCUCCGUGUGCUGUCAUCAAGGUACCUUUGAAUUUGUGGCUGAGUAAGAGCAGGCUGCUUUCAGCCAGGACAGUAACCGGGUCACAGACUCCCUCCGGUGCUGUGACCCCAAUAACUGCCCCUCCUAAGCUCGGGGAUGAUAAUUGGUGAUGGGUUUUUCUCCGUGCCUCAGCCUAGACACUAGCUGGGUGCUUGAGUCCCUCCUUGGGCAGAGCUUGAGGGUGCAGCCAGCUCUUCUGCCGCCUUGCUGCCCUCAGCUUUCUCUGUGGGUAGGAAUUUCAACCCCCUAACACUUUAGGGCAACCUCUCCCUCUCACCUGGGCGUUAGCAGAGCGCGAGGGGCUCAUGUGCAGUUGGAUUUUGUUGUUCUUUUGAGGGCAGCGAGCUUCUAAGAAACCCAGAGAGGGAGCACAAAGGGACCUUUUGCUUAUCUCUGACCUUUCUGGCAGGGAUGUGCCUCCAGGGCCCAGAUAACGCGAAAGCUGGGAUGCGUGAUUAGGGAUUGAGGCCCUGAGAUGCCAUCUGCAAAGGUCUGGUAAAGACCUGUGGGGUGGCUGCAAAGGGGAAAUAUAAAAGUCCUGUCUGCAAAGAGGUGGUGAGAGGCCAGGGGUGGAGGGAUGUGGGACUGGGGGGGCCGUGCCAAAGCAGGGGCUUUGCAAAAGGGCCAGGGGAGAGGUUGUGGCCUUUGAGUUUCUCGCUGAUGAGGGUUUCAGUGAGCUGGAUUUGGGGGAAGAGCCUCCCCCAGCCCAUGCCCUGCUGUGCACAGAACCCCACGUGCCCUGCCUGUGGUUUGCACUGCCCAGUGGAAACAUUUCCCCAUGAAAAAUCAGCAUUUUCUUUUUACCUAGGUGUAAGUAGAUGAGGGCAGGAGAUGGGGUGACCCUGCUGGGGUCCGUAGCUUUGGGCACAGGUCAAGAACUGGGGCUUGGAGGAAGCAAAUCCUGGAUUUGGGCUUUGUGCUCCACGUCCCAGCUCACAUCACGGUGCCUGAGAGCCCUCCAGACACCGUUCCUGUGAGCAGCAAAGGCAGAACUGGAGCUGCUGGUGUCUGAGAGCUGCUUUCCAACAGAACCGGAGCUUUUUCUGGAGUGCUUUUUCUUGCCAGAAGCAUGUUUUGGGUCUCGUUUCUCCUGAGCUGCCUGCUUGUGUGGAGCUUGUGGGAACGUAGCCGUGUUGGUACCUUCACUGGGCCACCUCUGUCCGACUCGGCUGGAUUAAGAAUUUAUGGGAAAGGAAGGACAGACGCGCACAGCGGGAUUGCAUACGGCCUGUUUCUUUAGAAAACAAGACCAGAAGCUCGGCGAGGGCUCGGGUUCAUCCUGCUGCGGGACAGGAAGAUUUUUGUGGGAUGGGAAAAAUGUUCCCUGCCCAGCUCCGGUCCGUGCCGCAGUGCAGGGAGACCCAGUGCGGUGAGCCUGGGCUGCCUGGACAGACAGACAGACAGGACCACAGGGGGUGUUUAUGUCCAGCAACCUCAGGAAAAAUUCCCCUUUCUGCCAUCGCAGCCAAAGCCUGCCUCUUCCACCCCGCGAAGGACAGCACGAGGCGAGCAAGGAGGAAAAGGGAAUAACCGGGCAGAAAGCGCAGAAUCCACGCACGUAUAUAUUUAUUUUCAGGCUCCAGUGACCCAGCUCUGAUUUCCUUUUUUAAUUAAUGGCAGCAGCCUUGGUUUCUGUGUUUGGCGCAGUAACGAGCGUUUCCUUUGUCGCUGCUGUCACUUCCACGGCUCUGCCUGCCGCUGGGGCUCAGAAGGUGCAGCCCUGCUCCCUGCUUCGUCAUAAAUAGGUCCCGAGACCUUUAUCUGCCAGCACCCUUCGAGCAGCAGCAGCCCUUAAAUGUGGUCACACCGACACGAGGGGCUUUACAUCAGCACAGUUUUACCCGUAGGCGAAUUUACAUCGAGUUAAAUGGUUUGGCCACCGUCAUUUUCUUUGCAUGGUGAAAUGAGUGAAGCUUUUCUCUGGGUGGAGGGAAGGGGGAAGUCCUCCUGGCUCUGAGAUGAAGCUGAUAAAGUCCAUCCCUGCGUGGCUUAUCCCAUUCACGUUCUCCUGCUCCCUUAGGGGGGGCACCGACGGCGAGGGCGCUCCACAGGCAGCCGGAUCCUGUCCCUGAUCUGUUGGAAAUCUUCCCUGGGAGCAGGGAUCCCGUCCCUGAUCUGUCGGAAAUCUGUCGGAAAUCACCCGUGGGAGCAGAGCAGGCAGCACAACGGCUGGGCUCGAGGAAGGGAUGCAGACUGGCAGCAGGAAGGGGAGCUCAGCUCCUUUGGGCAGCAGCCUGGGCUUCGGGGCUUCACCCAGGAAACCGGACCCCAAAUUGUCCUCGCUCCCCGCUCCAGCAGCCAGUUUCUCGUGGGACUCCUUUCUCUGCCUUAUCUCGCCGGAUUGGCACCUCCUCAGUGUCUCCUUGAGCUCUCUGGGCGCAGAAAGGCUGGGGUCUGGGGGCAGGGGGGCUUUUGUACCAUUGUAAGGCAAAUCAGAGCUGCUGGUUCCCGAAUCCGGGCGCUCGCAGCACUUGGAGCAGGCAGGCCACUUCAAAGGGCUUUCUGGGAGCUGUCACUACAAAAGCUAGCGCUCGGCAAUUAAAGUCUCUAAAUCCUGACUGAAGCUGAUUAAUUUACACCAAGUUAAUUACUAGGUCCCUUUCCAAGAGCCUGAUACGAGUCAUCCCAUCGCACGAUGUCAUUUUCAGGGAGAAUUAAACCCUUUGCUUAAAUGGUUCUGGAGCUGCUUUGAAGACGCAGUCCUGUGGCAUCUUUAGCCUGGGAAUUUUCUAUUUUUUUUUUUCCAUCUCGAAGGCCUUUAGCGCCGUUAAUGAAUGAACAUCAUUAAUGAUUAAUCACCUGAAUAUGAAUGGAGUAGGCUUCGUGCCAGGUAAAAGCAGAAUAAAUGCGUUUGCCUGAGCUCUGCUUUGACACGUGUGCUUUUGGAGCAGCUGGCAGCAGCUCCUCUGAAUCCAGUGGGCAGUGCUGGCCCUCCGCUGUCUCGUUUGGCCAAAGGGAAACUGAGGCACGAAGGAACUAAAUGAUCCGUCCACACUAACGAGCAAGGCAGGGAAGAGCUGGGAAAAUAACCCCAAAGCCCUGAUGCUUCCCAGCUUUUUCCAAUAUUUUUCUCCUUACCGUGAGCAUUUAUUAUAUUUCCAUUUGAGAUCGUAUCGACUCAGUGAGAGGGAUGAUGUUCCCUGUUCUCUCUGGGAAAACUGAGAUACUAGAAAAUAGAAAUGACUCAGAGCAAGACAGAAGAUCCCCUAUAAAAGGAGUAGGGACAAUUUGCUAGAGCUGUUACUGGUGUGGACUCUGAAGCAUGUGGCUCAGCAUCUCCUGUCGUUCUUUUUAUAAUACAAGCUAGUCCUCAUAUCCAGGGAGUAUCCGAGCCCUUUCUUGCUUGUAAUCUCGCUCAGGAAUCGCCAGGAGUUGGCACUGUGGGCUCCAAAGGAAGUGGCAGGAGCCAGGACUGGUUGUUAGCUGUCAAGCCCCAAAAGGUCACGCUUAGGUUGUGGCGCUGAGAGGAACGAGGUAGGAGUGCUGGUGCAAAUGGAAAACAUUUCCAUGCGCUGCACUCUUGUCUCUAGGAAACCUUUCAAGCACUCCCAGACCCAGCAGCUCGCUGAGAAGACCCAGAUCUCAUUUCUUUCACUACACUUGCCAGCAAAAAGGGUGGUUUUUUUUUUUUUUUUUUUUUUUUUUUUUUUUUUUUUUCCUUCGAGUAGAAUCUGCUCCUGGCUCCGCCGGAGCCGGUCACAGUUUUUGUUCCAAAUUUAAGCCCUUCCGUAUUCAGCUGGGCUUUCUGCACUGCCACACGGCCUGAUCCCUGCGUGGGCAGGGGGAAGCUGACCACUGAACCCUGCCUGCCCUCCUGGGGGUCCCCCAAUGUGCCUGGAGCCGGGUGGUGACCGCGGAAGUGUGCGUGGCCCUUCUGCCCCAGAGCGUGACCACGGGAAAGGGGCUCCGUCCCAAAUUGUAGGCGAUGCUCUGGGGCCCUUCAGUGGGCAAGCCAACGGAUUUCGGGGGGAGCCUUCGGCCUCGGUGGCAGCAGGGGCUGGGGGGGCUCCUUGUGCCUCCCUGCUGCUUGGGUGCUUGCCGGGCCGAUGAGAUGUUUGCCCUUCCCUCGUGCCCCAAGGAGCAACCCCGGCUGCUCCCAGCAUCAGGGAGGUGAAUCCUCUCGGUUUUUUUGGAGCUGUUUUCUCCAAGGGACUCAAAGGACCUGGAGCCGCUCCAGUUCCCUUGGCCAAAGCCCUCGAAUUACAGGGUAUGCGAGAGAUGUAAGUAGCAGUGAGGUCUCUCUGUCAUCUCCCACCGCUUCCAACUGCUUUCAUUGCUCCAGGGCCUCCUGUUCUUUCCUCCCCUGUAGCAAUUAAGAGUUCAUCCAGUUCCCUGGGCUCUUUUGGGAACUCUCAGAGGCAGCUGCAGGCUGACUGCGCUCCCGCUGGGGUCAGGAUGGGAGCUGAACCCAUCAGUCAUCACCCAGGGAUCGGCUGCUGAGCUGUGCCUGACUUUCUCCUGAAUUUUCAGACCGCUGGUGGAAGGUCGGCUUGGCCGCGCCGUGUGUCUUUCUCCUUCCAUUCUGCACCACGAGGGCUGUCAGCCGCCAAACUGGGCAACACCAGCACGAAACUGGACCACAGCAGCAGGUAACUGGACCACCACAACACGCAACCGGGAGGCUGGAGCCUGCAGAAAGUCUUGGCCAAAUGAUUUCAGAGCGCUCUGGGGCUGGCACGCAUCCCCAGAUGGCUGCUUUUAAGGGCGGCAGCGAUUCUCUCCAAGCGUCUGCUCAGACAGCCGGCACUGCUCACUGCAGCAAUGGCCACGGGAUCACACCUUUAAAUCAAACGGCUCUCGUCUCUGUGAAAUCUUCAGCUCAGAUGUGGGAUGGGAGGGGGCAGGUUUCUAAUAAAGCUCAGCUGUCUCCCAGAAUAAUCCAGACCCUGUUCUUCCACCACUGCCUUUGAGAACAAAAAGACUCGCUGGCUGCUGAGCGCCUUUGAAAACUCAGCCCUUGAUCUAGCUUUUAUUUUUCUCUCCUUGUCCUCCCUUUUCUUCCCCUUGCUGGCUCUCCUAGCGUGCAUGCAUCUUCCCAGCUCCUGUCUCUGCCGAGGAGUCCCCGUCUCGUGCCAGUUUGACGUUUGCCUGUUCUGAAUGCCAGAAACCCCUGGAGCUCAGGGUCACGUUAACAAGUUCAGCUUGGCCGGGGGAGCAGGCUGCUCCAAACCGAGGCAGGAGAAGCCAGAUGAGAGACUCCAGAGGUGGCCGUUCCGAAGUCACGCUUGCAGAACAAAGGCAGGGCCGUUCGGGGUCAGGGACCAGCAAAGCUCGCACGCCGCUGCACCCGCCGGGCUGUGACGACCUGCGUGUCCUCGUCCCCGUGUUCCUCAUGUGUUUGUGCAGGCCGUGUGCUCCUCGGACUCUCUCCCAGGUUUUUAGCAGGUGGAGCAUUGCUUCCCAGAGGGGUGCCAUCCCCUGGUGCUUCUCCAUCACCCCUGCAGCCCCAUGACAGCCACUUACCCGGCCCUACAACACCUCCCGGCCCCAAACCAGCAUCUCCAGCAUCUUUCUGCUGCUUCCAGCGGGCUUUGGCUCAAGUACACGAGGAAGGAGACGUUUUUAUGGUACUGACAGUUCCUGGUAGGCCUGGCGAGCCCCGCACUCCUUGCUGCCUGUCCCAAGCUGUGCAGAUAACCCGGGGGUGGCUCUGAGGAUGGGGCCGGGCAGCGCUUCUGCACUUAUCGGUGCUCUGAGCCUGGAGCACGCCUGGCACAGCAGCCCUGGGGCAGGGAGUCUCGCCCACCAAAAGGUGAGGAGGAGCCAAGAGCAGCUGCGAGGUCCCCUCGUUUGCUGGGCUCUGGGAAAUCACCCAGAGAGGAGUUUGUAGCCCUCCAUCGCAGAGCAGGGGAAAAUCCGUGCAAAGGAGUGCCACGGGGAUCAGCGCCCAGGGGAACAGGGCUGUGUCCCCCACACCCAGCACCCAGGAAGGUGUCUGAGCAGAACAAGGGGCCGGUGGUGUGCUUGGAGCGAUCUGGUGGCGCUGGGGAGAGCUCUGAGCUGUCAUGCCCAGGCUGCCUCCAGCUCCUCUGCUCCUUGGGGAGCUCCAGCCCAGCACCCGGCAGCUCUCCGGCCAGGCGUUAGCGCUCGUUUUGGGGCCAUGCUCUGCCAGCUCGCCUUCUAAAUAACGCCGGAGGGCUACAGAAAUAACCUCAGAAGCGCUCAUGCCUGAUUGCAGGAACCGAUUUGUUUGUCAGUUUGCGGUGGGAAGGAAGUGCAUCUUUUAAUUGCUGCAGGCAGGAUCCUGGUAGGAGCCUGGGGCCGGUGCUGCGCUGCGGUCCAUCCGAUUCCCUUCUGCCCCGGCUCUUGGACUGACCCGAGAGUGCCUCUAGUUCUGCUCACACGGGCUGUGAGGACAUGGCUGCAAGCCGCUGACUUAUUUUCAGCUAGUUAGGUGGCUGUAGGACUAGCUGAACAGGACACCAUACCAAUUUUUCCAGCACAGCCAUGGGAUCCACCACAGAUUGCAGCCUAGGUAGCUCAGGAGGCAAAACCAUCUUUUUUCCCUGCUAGGAGAGGGCAGGAGCUGCAGGAGCUGCAAGGCUCAGAGCAAAAAUAGCAGGUUGGUGUUGGAAGAAAUGGUUAAUGUGUCGGGGCUGCUGCUGGAAUCCCUCCACCAGGGAUCUGCCCGAGUGCAGCGGGAAUGCUGCUUGCUCGGUGAUGUGCAUGCACUCACAGAGCGUGUCUCAUUAGCGUGUUGUUAAUGUCAGUAAUUAUUGGUGCUGUGAGCGCGGGAGCAUACGUAGAUAAAUGCACAGCUACCAGGAGCGCUGGGAGAAAUGCACCCGCCUGUUAUUAGGGGUAUUAGGGUCUCGGUUUUAGAGCUGUCGCCCCGUGCAGGGGUACCUGGCUGUCACAAGAAGUUUGGUGACAUCUGUGCCUCUGGGAGGGGUGUGCAGGGAGCACGGUGUGACCCCCAGAGAAGGAGCCUUGCCUACUUCACCGUGCCUUGUGAAGUCCUCAAAAUUUUCCUCCUUUGACUGCAGCUGGACCUGGAAGGAUGAGCGUGCGCCUUUCUGCCGGGGUGGGGAGCACAGGAACCCUUUGCACACCUUGGCUCAGCGUGGUGAGGCAGGUUGGCAGCAAAGCUGGGGGGCUUUGGGGCUUUUUUUUGGGGGGCAGGGGGCUGCCACGCACAGAUGCAGCUGCGGUGCUGGGCAGGAGGGUGCACCCCGAGUGGGGGAAGUCAGGGGGCAUCAAUCCUUUCCUUUCUUCCCCCAAAACCACUUGUGGGCACAUCCACACGGCAUUGUCCUCCCUCCAGGGAACCGGCUCUAGCUCGGACCUGCUGAUUUGAUAUCCCUGCCCCAAUGCAGGCACAUCCACGUCUCCAGUGCAGCAGCAGCAGUGGGGGACCCCCUGCGAGCCCACCUUCCCUGCGUGGGAUCCUCUCUGCUCCUCUAACAGGGAACAGGGUACACCCUCCUGCCCCGCUCUUGUGCACCAGUCUCAGUUCUUGUUUUUCUCCCAGCCAAACCAAGGUUAAAACCCUGCCUGCCAGGCUGCUCAGUGCAUUGCACUGCCCUGCCCCUGAGCUCUGCCUGCCUCCAGCCCUGCUGCCCUGCCUCUGCUGUGCCGGGGUCCUGCAAAACUCAGCGGGGUGCUACCACGCUGGGAAUGGUUGGGAUGCAGGCUCAGGGUGCUGCAAACACCCCACAGCAGCCCCAGCUCCCUGCAGCAGCCCCGAGCCCAGCUUUCGAGGACUUUUCCCUUCUCCUUGCUCUGCUCCAGCUGCACCAGUCCCCGCUCCUCAUCCCUCCACCCUCCAGGACUGCCCCUUUUUCCAGCACAGCCCCCUCUCUUUGCUGGGGCAAAUUCCCCUUCUGCCCGCAGCGCUAAGAAGCUUUGAGCUGCCUCUGCUUCUGCCUGGCAGUUUGCGUUGGCAAAGAGGCGCUAGGCACCGGGCUUGCCACAUCAAAUGAAAAAUAUCAUGCAACCAAAAAUUCUUAGAAAAACCCAAACGCAUCUAAUCUGCCGAAUGGGGCACGCGAGGCACCGACAACAAGAUCAGGGCAGGGCAGGAAAGGGCAGGAAGGAUGGACAAAGGAAGGGUGUUGUAAAAAAGAUCUAUUUUAUAUGUAAAAUUUCAGGGUAGUAUUUUUUAACAAUUUGCAUAAUUGGCUACCACAGAUAAUCCCCUGAAAUGAACUAAAUAUAUCACAACUGGGGGCUUUCCAAGCCCAGCUUGCUUUCUGAAAUUGAUUGGUUUCAGCUUUGCUUUUUUUUUUUUUUUUUUUUUCUGCGCUCUUUCUUUCUAUCUUUACCAGCUGAGUUUGGCUGGUUUCUGAAACGCCUGAUUUGGGAGCAAAACUAAACAUUCACCUGGGGAUGGCUUACUAUGGUACGAGUUUGAGUCAAUGAAAAUGCGACUUAAUUUUAGAUUUCGUUAGGAAAAGGGAACUAAGGCAGAAAACAGCUGCUGCAGUGACAGAUGAAGACCAGCCCGUUCUGAUGCUUUUCAUAAAAAGUCAGGUGAAACGGCAUUUAAAGCUCUGCUGGCCUAAAUAGAUAGCUGGGGCGAGCUGGCCCGGGUCCCCUGGAGUCAAAUCUAGCCCAGCUGCUCACAAAGGGAGAUGCUCCGAAGCCACUUCUGGAAAUGCUCUCCUAAAUGAGUUGCCAAAAGAUGUAGUGCUUGGGUAUAAACACGUCUCUUCAUCUGUUUGCAACUCCUUCCAGUCGCUUUUUUGUCCUGUUCUGGAAGCCACUUAAGCAAAGGGGUUUGGGUCCAACUGCUUCUCACCUUGAAUGGUCUUGGUUAAGAAAAUAAUGUCAUGAAACUGAGACAGAUCCCAGCAACAGGCAGGCGCAGGUAUAGAAGCGAUGGACAUGGCAUAAACCUAAACAAUACCCACAAGCACAGUUUUAUUUCUGUUUAAAUAGAGAUUUGGUCCAAGCUGUAGCAAAAGCCACUCUAAAAAGGAGGUUUAAAUUGACAGAAAGAUGUGUUUUGACCUUAGAAGCAUCGGGCUUUCUUCAGAAGGCUGGUGUGCAUCCUAACUGGAUGAUGCAUCGAAGCGCCGCCGAGAUUCAGUGUUCAGAUGAUAUCACUCCGAGCUAAUUAGCUGUACUCAAAAGCCUGACCAAGUCAGAGGAAAGGGAAUGCUGUGGUUGCCAGUAAUGGGAAAGAUAUUAGGAAACACGUCCCGCGGGCCAAAUCCUGCAACGUUAAGCUCGUACUCCAGCACGCUUCCCUUCAAUUCAGUGAAAGCAUUGCUCUGAAGUUAAGAAUGAAUAAGAUACGAGAAAGGAGAGGGAGCCAGCUACGGGGGGAAACGGUUGUCUUGUGUUUGAGCACGGGACCGAGACCAGGAAAUCCUCCGCUGAGCCAGGGAAGGGCUGAAGGAGCUGGGAAGAUGCCUCGGUCCCUGUGCCUGCGGGCUCCCAGCCGUGUGCACCAGGGCAGCAGCCGAUGUGCCGCGUCCCUGCCGCGCUCUGACCCCGCUGCCGUGUCGCCAGGUGGAGCUGAGCACCCCACAGCCUGACCUGCUGGUCCCGGUCCAUUUUAUCAGCAGUUAUCAAGCACAAAUGAUGGGCUGUAGGCUGGGCUGGCUCCUGCUGAAGGAGCAGGGACUGUGACGCCAAACCGUCCCGGCGCGAUUUGCUAGCCCUCGUGUGCCAGAGCCCUCGUUCUUUUCCUGGGAAUGCUUGCAAUAUCUCACAGCUUUAGGGAAAUCUGGGUGGGAAAUAUCACAGAUGAGGGUGUUUGAAGUGCUUUGAAAGCCACCAACCAGAAAAAGUGAAACGCUGUCUUCGCUCUUCCUCUUACGCGUACAAAAUGGUACCUGCUUUUCAUUUUAUUCGGGGGAUUUCCUAUAGCAAAGGAUAUAGUUAUUCGCUCAUUGGAUUUGGUUUUCAAGCCCUUCGGUAUGUUAAGCAGUUUCAUUUUGAUGUCCCCCGAGGACACCGUAGUUGCGGUGUGCCCGAGGAUGAAGGUGGCACAGCUCGUGGUAGCUCAAAAUCAGAAGGAGGCAGCUGGGAAACGCGAGGCAGAAAGCAGUGGGGAAAAGAAAUAUCGUGUUCAUGGACAGCCCGGGGGGGCCGGGCCCGCUGCUGAUGCAGAGUCAGGUAACUGAAGGCUUUCUGCAGGGAAGAGCUUUCAGAAAUGGCCGUUUGAAUUUCCAUCCC
Anas platyrhynchos (mallard) is the source of this 12756-nucleotide non-coding RNA. The record is from RefSeq and is a predicted model, not a curated record. NCBI's taxonomy places the organism in Eukaryota, Metazoa, Chordata, Aves, Anseriformes, Anatidae.